GUCCUCGUGGCGCAAUGGAUAGCGCGUUCGACUUCUAAUCGAAAGGUUGUGGGUUCGAAUCCCACCGGGGACUGCA
This 76-nucleotide transfer RNA is filed under the name Flavobacteriaceae bacterium. RNAcentral's name for it is "tRNA-Arg". It matches the Rfam family "tRNA". Rfam says of the family: Transfer RNA (tRNA) molecules are approximately 80 nucleotides in length. Their secondary structure includes four short double-helical elements and three loops (D, anti-codon, and T loops). The record is from RNAcentral. Lineage: Bacteria; Pseudomonadati; Bacteroidota; Flavobacteriia; Flavobacteriales; Flavobacteriaceae.